This 1196-nucleotide long non-coding RNA is filed under the name Homo sapiens (human). Its description in RNAcentral is "HSALNT0330138". The record is from RNAcentral. Lineage: Eukaryota; Metazoa; Chordata; Mammalia; Primates; Hominidae.
GUAGACCCACCCAUCCAUCUCCUCACCAGUGUGCUCUCCACUGCUGUCUUUCUUCAUCAUCCUUAAGCUCGUUAUAGUCCUGGAUUUUAGUGGGUGCUAAAGCCAAGGACUAGAUUUGAAGCCUCUUUUCUGCCCACCUGCUGCUCUUUCUUCCUCCCUCCUAGCUGCAGACAUCAAACUGUUGCUGGCCAGGGCAGUUGCAGGCUGGCCCAGGGCAGACCCAACUGAGGGCAAUGGUCCUUAGAGCUAUGGCCACCCUGACGUGGAUGCCUGGUGAGAGGCUUGUGAACAGAGAAGACUAACUGUGGAGAUGCUGACCCAUUUAGCUUUUACCUGUCCCAGGAUGGUUGGAGAUCUCUGGGAGAGAGAGAGAGGUAAUGAGGACUCAGUUUUGACCAAGGCAAGCUUCUACUAUGGUUCAAAUCCCGGUCACCCAUCUCCCACCUGGUUGGUUGCAUCAACCUCCUCAUCAGUCUCCAGGAUUCAAGUCUGUUUGUGCCCCACCAGCCUUGGUGUGUGCUGCCAGAUGAGUCUUUCCAAAACAGCGUUUUGUCAGCCUCCUGUACCUGUUCUGAAAUAUUUGUAAGCACAUUUCCUCAGCCCUCACCACGCACUGUGGACAAACAGGACCGCAUAUUCAUAAUCAUGACCCACUUGUCUCUGACUUCUGCCUCUGUUUGCUUACAUGGGACCUUGGUCUCUUCCAGAGUGCACCCCAAGUAGUUCCAGGAACCCCCAGGGCAGUGUUGCUGAAAGUGGCUCUGUGCACCAGCGCCAAUCUGUGCACGUUGCUAUGAUCUGCGAUGACAUUAGCACAUACAUGGAGAAUAAGUUGAACUUUCAUUUCUGUGACCUCUAGCAGAUGGGAUUUUUUUUUUUUUUUUUUUUAGUUUUACAAAACAAAUAAACAAACAAGCAACAGAAACAAAAGACACCUGGCCCUUCACAGAUCAUUUGAGCCCUGCCCUAGGGUGUGUCAUACCCAAUCAAGUCUGGCUCCUCCAUGCACUCCUGCCUCACCUCCCUGCUAUCCACUGGCAGCUCCUGGAGCUGUUUUUUCAGGAAAUCAGUCCCUACUGCCUCUCUUCCUGGAGCACAGCUAUCCAGAGUGUUCAUGUGAGAAACAGUUUGCUUUAAAAAUACUGCUGCAAUUCAGAAUAUCCACUUUUGACAUUAAAUUAGGACUCAUAUUUAAA